CAGCAAAAAAAAAAAAAAAAAGAAAAAAAAACCUAGUUGUUCCUUCCCCUUCAACUCGACGGCAACAGAAGGAGCAGCCCCUUCCUCUCUCUCGCGAUCACACAUCCAGCCGAACGCACACCCUCUCGCAUAUCUUUCUUCUCUCGGACGUGAUCGACCAACCCUGACCGUUAGCUAUUUUAAGAGUCAAACCGAGCAAACCAAGGUCGUUAGGUACUCAUGGAGCUUGCACGAGCAGGAGGAGUCGUUGUGGUACAUGGACCGUUGUGUGCCAUGUUAAACUAUAAGAACUUUUGACUUAUAUUUUGGUUUUAUAUUUUAUGCUUCCGCUGAUAAAUUGAAUUUGAUUAACUUGUUUUGGAACACCAAUUGU
Molecule: long non-coding RNA, 373 nt
Organism: Helianthus annuus (common sunflower)
Lineage: Eukaryota; Viridiplantae; Streptophyta; Magnoliopsida; Asterales; Asteraceae
Exons: 3
Source: RefSeq, a predicted model, not a curated record